CCGCCCGUCACAUCACGAAAGUGGGCCGUACUAGAAGCAGGUGUGCUAACCGCAAGGAGGCAGCCUUUCAAGGUACAGCUACAUGAUUGGGGUG
Molecule: ribosomal RNA, 94 nt
Filed under: uncultured bacterium
Lineage: Bacteria
Description: partial 16S ribosomal RNA
Source: RNAcentral